This 489-nucleotide ribosomal RNA is filed under the name Triticum aestivum (bread wheat). RNAcentral's name for it is "partial small subunit ribosomal RNA". Lineage: Eukaryota; Viridiplantae; Streptophyta; Magnoliopsida; Poales; Poaceae. The record is from RNAcentral.
AUGGCCAUGCCCGUCACCACCUCCACUUUUCCCCUGGUGAUUGGCUGCGCGUGCGAGAUUUUUGUGCUGGAGCCCGCAUCCGCGUGUGCUACAAACUGCCUCAGAAUUGCUGCCACCGGCCACAACAACGCCGGCGGCCACGGGGUCAAGUUGUCGUGUGCGGGGAGCCACCCCCUUCUUUUUGCUACAUCAGCUUUGUUUUUUGCUGGAAUCAGCAUCAACUUUUGCUACCACCAUCUCAUUUUUUUGCUGGAACCACAGAUCUUUUUUUUGCUACCACCAUCUUUGGACUUUGCUGGAAAUAGCCAUUUGUUUUGCUACCAUUGGCUUUGUGUUUUGCUGGAACUACCACAUUUUUUUUGCUACAAUCGUGUGGGUUUUGUGCCGGAACUAGCAUUUUUUGGUACAACCGUUGUCGAUUUUUGCUACAACCGGCAAAUAUUUUUGCUACGUUCCAUUCACGGUGAGCUGCGCCCAUCACAGCGGUGA